Echinops telfairi (small Madagascar hedgehog) is the source of this 145-nucleotide small nucleolar RNA. The record is from Ensembl. NCBI's taxonomy places the organism in Eukaryota, Metazoa, Chordata, Mammalia, Afrosoricida, Tenrecidae.
UGAUGACUGUGCCUCCUCUUGCCUUCAGACCUGACACUAGGGUUUUAGGUCAUCAUAAAUAAAAAAUUGAUUUUCUUCACUCAGAGAAUAAUAGAAUAAUGGGUUUUAUCUGACUAUUCUCUGAAAUUUGCGGAAUCAAACAGCU